Molecule: long non-coding RNA, 3301 nt
Organism: Bubalus bubalis (water buffalo)
Lineage: Eukaryota; Metazoa; Chordata; Mammalia; Artiodactyla; Bovidae
Exons: 3
Source: RefSeq, a predicted model, not a curated record
CCAAGCCCUUUGUCUCUUUUCUACUGUGUUCUGAACUGAUUCUCAAGGUAUCGCCACCGUUUUUUUUGUUGUUGCUUUUUUUUUUUAAGGAAACUCUAGAUAAGACUUGCAUGCUUGCCAAAGCCACAGUGGUGUUGUGACUUGUCAGUGCUUACUAUGAGGAAGACAAAGCAGAAAAAUUAGUAAAGUCACCCACAGGGAAAUCUACGCAGAUGUAUUCAUCUUGAGCCAAAUGCUGCUGCUGGGUUCCUGAGGAGUUGAGUGUGAAUUGCAUGAGGGAUGAGCAAAGCGGGAGCUUUUUGAAGGAAAAGACAUGACAAACUGCAAGUCACUGACUUCUUGGGACUCUCAGAAAACUGAGUUUACAAGGUGGACCACCACCCCAAAAUCUGAAGAAAUGAGCACAUCCAGAAAGCAUAUUUGAGAUCUGUUUCACUGAAGGAGAAGACACUAGACUCAUAAACCAGUGCUUUACUGAGUGCAUGGAAGAAGCACACUGAAGACUGAGACCAAAGCAAGAACUGAAGGAGCUUCCCUCUGAGACAAGUUUCAGGCGGAAACCAGUUGAAGACUAGGGGCAAGAAAGGGGAUCUCAAAGAAUGCUCCUGCAAUAUUUCAGACCUCAAACAAUGUAAAGCAAUGAUACUAGAGUCCUGUAAUUCAGAGAAAUUAGGUGAUACACAUUCUUUUCCAUUAUACUUUAGAACAUUCACAAGUAGACCAUGUACUAGGUAAUAAAAUAUCUCAAAAAUGUUGAAAGGAUAAAGAUAACAUGGAGUAUGUUUUCUGACCACAGUGGUGUUAGAUCAAUAGUUAGAAACUCUUAGGAUAUUUAGAAAAUCCCAAGCAUGUGGAAAUUAAACCCUAUAAAAUAUACAGAUCAAAGAAGAAAUCACAGAGUAAAUAAGAACUAUUUUUAAUUAUGAAUUCAAGGAAACAGAACCUAUUAAACUUUAGAGUUGGCAGCUAUGAUAGUGUUUGAGAGAUAUUUGUAGUUCCAAAUGCCUAUAUUAGUAAAGAAGAAAAGUAUAAAACCAGUGGCCUAAACUUCUAAGAAGAUAUGAAAGAAUUACAAGUUAAACCUAUGACAUCAUACAUUUUUCAAGUGCUGUUAAUCCAAAUUUAUCUCCAGAAAAAGAAAUUCUUCUGUAGAAAUCAAGACAUUUACAGAUGAAAAGAAAUAAUAAGAGAUUAUGUUACAACAUAUCUACCAUCAGAAUAACUAAAGGAAGUUUUCUAAACAGAAAGAAUAUAGCAAAAGAAGGAAACUUGGAACAUUAGAAAUAACAAUGAAAAUAGUGAAAUAAAUAAUAAAUAGGGUAUCGGCACUAGAUUUUCCUUCUCUCAGAUUUUGUAAGUUAUAUUUUAUGAUCAUGUAUGUAACAUUUUUCUCUGGCUGCUUUUAAGAUUUUUUUUCUUUGUUUUUUUGAACAUUCUGAUUACAAUAUGCCUGAAUGACACUUUGGCAUAUUUCUUUUGAUGAGAUUUUACUGAGUUCCUUAGAUCUGUUGGCUUAUAGUUUUCAUUGAAUUUAGAAAAAAUAUCUAUUAUUUUAAAAAUAGCUUAUUGGCCCCCAUCUCAUCUCUAGCCUUCCCUUAUGGGACUCCAACUUCACAUAUAUUAGGCCACUGAAGUGCACAUGUCUUCCCUCUCACUGAUGCGCCUUUCUUUAAUUCUGUUUUCUAAUUUCUUUUUUUUUUUUUUUUUUUUUUUGGUAUUUCAUUUUGGGUUAUUUCUAUUGUUAUGUCUUUUAACUUCCUAAUAGUUCAUUUCUAUGAUGUUAAUUCUUACCAUUAUUUCUAUUAGUAUAUUUUUCAGUUCACAAUUUUGGUCUUUAUCCCUCAAAUGUGUUUUCAUAUCUAUGUCUUUGGUUAACUUUCUCACAGUACUUAAUACAAUUAUAACUUUUAAUAUCCUGAUCUUCUAAUUCUAACAUCUAAGUUACUUCUGGAGUGGUGUUGACUGAUCGAUUGCUCUCAUUGUGGGUUCUGUUUUCUUUUUUGUUUGUUUCCUUACUGAGUACGGUUUUAAUGAAAAAAUGGUGCUUUAUUUUGUAAUACUGUACAGAAUUAUUGGAAUCUACUUUGAACAAUGUAAAAAGUUAUUUCAUCCAUCACCUACAAAAUGAUACUCAUUGAUGAGCAUAUUAAAAAAAAAAGCACAAAAAAGCUAUGAGACAAGAAUUGCCCCAUCUCUGAUGGUCUGGUCACCUAUGAAUCCUGGUGAAUGAUUCUGUUGUAGUUUGUGGUGGGUUUUAAUUUUAUUGUAGAUUCCAAAUCAGAAAGUUCUAGAGCACUUUAUUAUUUUGGGGUAUUUCUGGAUCAGGGAUUGAACCCAUGCAUUCUGCAUCGGGGAAGCCACUGAGCUACUGGGGAAGCCCUAGAGCACUUUAAUGUGAAGCCAUGUCUUCAUAUAUUAUCAAAUGAGUCUAAGUCCCAGAAGGAAUCUUAGAGAUGAUAGCAUUGUCUCUCGUAUGUACUUAAAAGGAAACUGAGGCUUGUUUUGAUGAAGUGACUUAUCACAGGUUCCAGUGCUCUGUAUUAGGAUCAAAAUUAAGAACUUUAUAGUCUUUACAAUUAGUAAAAGUAAUCGGAAAGAAUGAAUAAAUUCUUUUAAAAAUGAGUAUGAUGCUUAGUAUUAUGAAUUUCUUAUAAAAAUUAAUAAAACGUAAACGAGUUUAUACAAAUACAAGAAUGCAUUCCAUGUGUGUUUUAAUUACUCUAAAUAUCAAUUUUUUUUCUUUCUUUUUUUUUAAAUAUCAAUUUUUAAUUAGGGUGAAAUGACAUACUUACAAUAUGUCAUUUAUUCCAAAUUAAAUAUUGCAUCAUAAAAUAAUGCAUGAGAAAUUGGCAUCCCUUAGUUGCACUGAAUAUCUUUAAAGACUGAUUUACCUCUUGAAAAUCACACUCAAAGAAUCCCAUUUGAGAAGAUCCUUAUUAAAAUAUUAUUUUUUAUCACAUUCAUUUUCCUCCAAUUUUCAUGUGUAUAUGUUUCUCUAUUUCUCCAGAUACCAAAGUCAGAUAAGACACCACAAAGAAAACUACAGGCCAAUAUCCCUAAUGACUACUGGUGCAAAAAUCCUCAGUGAAAUACUAACAAUCUGAAUCCAACAGAACAUGAAAAGGAUCAUAUCAAGGUCACACCCAUGACCAAGUGGGAUUUACCCUGGGCUGCAAGGAUAGUUAACAUAUGAAAAUCAAUUAAUAUAACAUACCACAUUAAUAAUACAAAGCAAAAAAUUAGCAUAAAGCAUUAAAAUGGCAUGACUGUCUCAACAGAUUUACAAAAAGAAUUUGACAAA